ACGGCUCAGUUAACACGUGGACAAUCUACCCAAAGGUCUGGGAUAACCCCGGGAAACUGGGGAUAAUACCGGAUAAACCAAUACUUCUGGAAUGGGUGUUGGUUGAAAUGUAAAGCCUUUGGAUGGGUNUGCGGCGGAUUAGGUUGACGCCGGUGUAACGUACCGGCGUGCCUGUCAUCCGUACGGGUUGUGGGAGCAAGAGCCCGGAGAUGGAUUCUGAGACACGAAUCCAGGCCCUACGGGGCGCAGCAGGCGCGAAAACUCUACAAUGCAGGCAACUGCGAUAGGGGGACAUCGAGUGGCAUCCACCUUGGGUGCCUGUCCAACCGUCUAAAAAACGGUUGUUAGCAAGGGCCGGGUAAGACCGGUGCCAGCCGCCGCGGUAAUACCGGCGGCUCGAGUGGUGGCCGAUAUUAUUGAGUCUAAAGGGUCCGUAGCCGGCUUUGCAAGUCCCCCGGGAAAUCCAGCAGCUUAACCGUUGGGCUUCCGUGGGAUACUACAUUGCUUGGGACUGGGAGAGGUAGGAGGUACUCAGGGGGUAGGGGUGAAAUCCUGUAAUCCUCUGGGGACCACCGGUGGCGAAGGCGUCCUACCAGAACAGGUCCGACGGUGAGGGUCGAAAGCUAGGGGCACGAACCGGAUUAGAUACCCGGGUAGUCCUAGCCGUAAACGAUGCCCGCUAGGUGUCACGGCGGUCGUGAAUCGCCGUGGUGCCGUAGGGAAGCCGCGAAGCGGGCCACUUGGGAAGUACGGCCGCAAGGCUGAAACUUAAAGGAAUUGGCGGGGGAGCAC
This 792-nucleotide ribosomal RNA is filed under the name uncultured archaeon. RNAcentral's name for it is "bacterial SSU rRNA". It matches the Rfam family "Archaeal small subunit ribosomal RNA", at positions 85 to 879 of the family's 1478-position model. The record is from RNAcentral.